RNAcentral lists this ribosomal RNA (496 nucleotides) under uncultured bacterium. Its description in RNAcentral is "partial 16S ribosomal RNA". It matches the Rfam family "Bacterial small subunit ribosomal RNA", at positions 29 to 507 of the family's 1533-position model. The record is from RNAcentral.
AUGAACGCUGGCGGCGUGCCUAAUACAUGCAAGUCGAGCGAACAGACGAGGAGCUUGCUCCUCUGACGUUAGCGGCGGACGGGUGAGUAACACGUGGAUAACCUACCUAUAAGACUGUGAUAACUUCGGGAAACCGGAGCUAAUACCGGAUAAUAUAUUGAACCGCAUGGUUCAAUAGUGAAAGACGGUUUUGCUUUCACUUAUAGAUUGAUCCGCGCCGCAUUAGCUAGUUGGUAAGGUAACGGCUUACCAAGGCGACGAUGCGUAGCCGACCUGAGAGGGUGAUCGGCCACACUGGAACUGAGACACGGUCCAGACUCCUACGGGAGGCAGCAGUAGGGAAUCUUCCGCAAUGGGCGAAAGCCUGACGGAGCAACGCCGCGUGAGUGAUGAAGGUCUUCGGAUCGUAAAACUCUGUUAUUAGGGAAGAACAAAUGUGUAAGUAACUAUGCACGUAUUGACGGUACCUAAUCAGAAAGCCACGGCUAACUACGUG